GACGAACGCUGGCGGUGUGCUUAACACAUGCAAGUCGAACGGAAAGGCCCUGCUUUUGUGGGGUGCUCGAGUGGCGAACGGGUGAGUAACACGUGAGUAACCUGCCCUUGACUUUGGGAUAACUUCAGGAAACUGGGGCUAAUACCGGCUAGGAGCUCCUGCUGCAUGGUGGGGGUUGGAAAGUUUCGGCGGUUGGGGAUGGACUCGCGGCUUAUCAGCUUGUUGGUGGGGUAGUGGCUUACCAAGGCUUUGACGGGUAGCCGGCCUGAGAGGGUGACCGGCCACAUUGGGACUGAGAUACGGGCCAGACUCCUACGGGAGGCAGCAGUGGGGAAUAGUGCACAAUGGGCGGAAGCCUGAUGCAGCAACGCCGCGUGCGGGAUGACGGCCUUCGGGUUGUAAACCGCGUUCGCCUGUGACGAAGCGUGAGUGACGGUAAUGGGUAAAGAAGCACCGGCUAACUACGUG
RNAcentral lists this ribosomal RNA (468 nucleotides) under uncultured bacterium. Its description in RNAcentral is "partial 16S ribosomal RNA". It matches the Rfam family "Bacterial small subunit ribosomal RNA", at positions 28 to 507 of the family's 1533-position model. The record is from RNAcentral.